UACAGGGGGUGCAAACGUUGCUCGGAAUUACUGGGCGUAAAGCGCGUGUAGGCUGCUCGAACAGUCGGGGGUGAAAGCCCUGGGCUCAACCCAGGAAGUGCAUUCGAUACUGCCGAGCUUGAGUCCUGGAGAGGAAGGCGGAAUUCUCGGUGUAGAGGUGAAAUUCGUAGAUAUCGAGAGGAACACCGGUGGCGAAGGCGGCCUUCUGGACAGUGACUGACGCUGAGACGCGAAAGCGUGGGGAGCAAACAGG
This 253-nucleotide ribosomal RNA is filed under the name uncultured bacterium. RNAcentral describes it as "partial 16S ribosomal RNA". It matches the Rfam family "Bacterial small subunit ribosomal RNA", at positions 524 to 776 of the family's 1533-position model. The record is from RNAcentral.